GCCCUUGAAAUAAUGAUUCGUUAUGCUCCAACCACAUUCUGAUAGUGAUACGACCUUAGGCUCACUGCCCACUGUCCCUGCUCUCUCUCUCUCUCUCUGACUCUCUCUAGAUGGUGGAAUUUUAGCAUCCCAAUGUGAUUUCAAGAAAAAAGUAUAUCAGUGUAGACUGCGGCAGAAGCUGCGCAGCUACUUUGAGAGACCAGAAAGAUUGCGUUUUGCAUCUGCGUUCCCUUCACCAUCACCCUUUCUCGAAAAGUAACAAACCCAGAGCAAGAGACAUUGCAGCCCACCUCUCAACUUAUUUAAAACAGCGAAGAAAACAGGGGAAGAGCCAAUUGGGUUUUUGGUGCAGGAGACUCGGUGAGCAGCAGUGUAAGCGAGCCACUUAUGAAUAUGGGUUUGGUAGGAAGCUUGGUUUGGGUGAAUGCAUACAGUAGGAAGCAGUGUAGGAGCCUGUUCUGGAGAAUGAGAGCGGCAUUGAAGAAGGCUCUCAAGAACUCUGGCAAGCAGCAGUUGAGGUUCCAAUAUGAUCCUUCCAGCUAUGCUCUGAAUUUUGAUGAUGGCUCUUGGAAAUCAGCCCAGGAAGCAAAUGCUUUGAAAUUGAAACAUGCAACAAAACCUCAGCCCCAUUCGGAUUCUGAUGUCAAAAAUACUGCUUGGGUUUAUGUUCUUUGGGUGGUUUCGGAGUGAUGUUUGCGAGGGGAAAGAGGGGAGCAGAUUGUUUUUUCAUUUUUCUUUGUGUUUGUGUGGUGUCCAAAAAAUUUAGCAGCUAAAGUGCCAUGCUUGUCAAGAGUGGGGUCAUUGUCUAAAAAAUGAAUGGUUAUAAUUACAAGUGUGACUUAUGAUUUUCUUAUUUCAUUUCUCAUGUUAACUUCUUCGUUGUUUGGCUAAAUUGUCUAAUAUUUAUUUUCUUGAGUCCUCAGGGAAAUUACACGAUCAUGAUGUUCUUAA
Molecule: long non-coding RNA, 951 nt
Organism: Prunus dulcis (almond)
Lineage: Eukaryota; Viridiplantae; Streptophyta; Magnoliopsida; Rosales; Rosaceae
Exons: 2
Source: RefSeq, a predicted model, not a curated record